GCCGGGCCGGGCCGGGCCGGGCCGGGGCAGCGCGGAGGGGGCUGGCGCCGCCCUCGGGGCGGGCCGGCCGCCGCGGGCUCCAUAUAGGGGCGGGUGGCCCUGGCCGUGGGGGCAGCGGCGGCGGUUGCGCGGUGCUGCUGUGUUCCUCACGGGCGGGUUUCACCCCCUGCCAAGAGCGAGAGGCGGGUGCCGGCUGCUCUCCCCCUGCCCCGGCCCGGCGGCCGCAGCGGCCUUUGCCGACCGCCCUGGCCCUGGCCCUGGCCCGCGAGCGGCUCCCGGAGCUCCGCGCUUUGCCCCGGCUGCGCCCGCUGCCAUGGCGUCGGUGCCCUCCGCCGGCUGCCUCCUGGCCAAGAACCACUACUACAGGACACGGCAAAACUCAGAGUGCAGCGUUUCUUCCAGUUCAUCCURCUGUUCUGAUCCUGUGACUGUGACAGACCAGGACAAAGCACUUAAUGGGUUACCUGAAUUACUUGAUAAAUGUUGGUGGAUAAAAAGCUUUUUCCAUUGCGAAGCAUCUCCACCAACUGUUGGCAGAAAAACUCUAUCAGCAGGCAGUACCAACAGUUGAAGAAGCAAACUGGCUUUGGUUACUGAGAUACUACGUACAGGCUUGUUUUUCAAGAGGCUUGGGAUCUUCUGGCUGUCUGGGUUCAGGUGCAUGAAGAACACAUACCCCUUUAAGAGGGAGGAAAGUAUAUCCCUUUCAAAGGACUUGUUGGUACCUUACACUACAUUGCUUAAUGGACAUGACCACGGCUUAACUUGUUCACUACAGAAUUGCUAUGAUUUGAAAUGCCUCUAAUGGAAGUUACCUGGAUAAUCCUAAUGACCUACUUGGAUUGUUAGAAAAAAAUCAGUAAAAAGUAAGAUACUGUAAGUUUAGCGGAAACUUGUGUGUGGAAUGACUUUGCAAUAGGUGAUACUGUUCCAUAAGUUUUAAGGCUUAGGAUAGCUCUACAGAUGAUCACACUGAUGUAAACAAGAUCCAAAUGCAGCAGCCCUAGUCUAGACUGUGUGGUACAUGCUUUUACCAUGUAUCUGUGCACCAGUUACAGGGAAUGCAGUUAACAAGAAGGCCUGUUCAUAGCUUUGCUUUUAGGAAGCCCCAUUAUACAAAGAAGCAGUAAUUGGUUUGGUCUUUGUUCUGGCUAGGUGUAGAUCAUAACCUCAAAUACACAGGUACAAUUUUCAUUCCCAUCUAUGCAUGUUAGUAUUUGAGGAUAGAAUAGAAGAGCUGGACAAGAAAUCAAUAAUCCUAAUGGACACUGUUUUCCCAGCAGAAGAGCAAAUUUAAUCAGAGAUGAUAUGCAUAGCUCUCUUUUACUUAAGACUACUCUCACCUGCUUUGCUGCAGCUUAAAGAGCCACUUGUUCAAGUGACUAAUCCUAUUGGUAUUCACUGCUUCUAUCAGGUGUUCAAGCUGGCUUUGAGUUCAACUCAAAGUAAUAACAUUAAUGUUAUUAAUCAAAUUCACUUCUGUCAUGAUUAUCUCACUUAAAAUACCCUAACAUAUAUUCAUUUGGUCUUUAACACUGCACAUCAGUACAUCACAGCUGCACCAUACCUUAUUCUACUGGGUGGGUAUGAGUAAAAUGCACUAGAGUAGAAGAAAAUAAGUAUUUGGCUAGAUGCCUCUUCUCCUAUAUCCUUCUCUAUGCAACUUAUUUAGUGACAGCAACUCAUUGUAUUUGACCCUUUGCUCGUCACUGGAAUAAGUAACAAUAACAAACCUUAAUAUGUAAUACUUUUUUUGUUAGAUUAAUAGCUGUUGCAAUUAUGCAUAGAACUCUAGAAAGCACUGCAAGUGACUGCCUCAAAGUUCAUAGUCUUGUUAGAGAUAAUAAAUGUAUGGCACAUGAAAACA
Molecule: long non-coding RNA, 1867 nt
Filed under: Dromaius novaehollandiae (emu)
Lineage: Eukaryota; Metazoa; Chordata; Aves; Casuariiformes; Dromaiidae
Description: lncRNA (ENSDNVG00000019049.1)
Source: RNAcentral